This 104-nucleotide microRNA precursor is filed under the name Marmota monax (woodchuck). Lineage: Eukaryota; Metazoa; Chordata; Mammalia; Rodentia; Sciuridae. The record is from RNAcentral.
AGUGGGAUAGCUGGGUUAAAUGGUAGUUCUAUUCCUAGUUUUUUUGAGGAAUCUCCAUACUACUUUCUAGAGUGGAUACACCAAUUUGUAGUCCCAUGAGCAAU